AAGUCGAACGGUAACAGGAAGAAGCUUGCUUCUUUGCUGACGAGUGGCGGACGGGUGAGUAAUGUCUGGGAAACUGCCUGAUGGAGGGGGAUAACUACUGGAAACGGUAGCUAAUACCGCAUAACGUCGCAAGACCAAAGAGGGGGACCUUCGGGCCUCUUGCCAUCGGAUGUGCCCAGAUGGGAUUAGCUAGUAGGUGGGGUAACGGCUCACCUAGGCGACGAUCCCUAGCUGGUCUGAGAGGAUGACCAGCCACACUGGAACUGAGACACGGUCCAGACUCCUACGGGAGGCAGCAGUGGGGAAUAUUGCACAAUGGGCGCAAGCCUGAUGCAGCCAUGCCGCGUGUAUGAAGAAGGCCUUCGGGUUGUAAAGUACUUUCAGCGGGGAGGAAGGGAGUAAAGUUAAUACCUUUGCUCAUUGACGUUACCCGCAGAAGAAGCACCGGCUAACUCCGUGCCAGCAGCCGCGGUAAUACGGAGGGUGCAAGCGUUAAUCGGAAUUACUGGGCGUAAAGCGCACGCAGGCGGUUUGUUAAGUCAGAUGUGAAAUCCCCGGGCUCAACCUGGGAACUGCAUCUGAUACUGGCAAGCUUGAGUCUCGUAGAGGGGGGUAGAAUUCCAGGUGUAGCGGUGAAAUGC
This 641-nucleotide ribosomal RNA is filed under the name Escherichia coli. RNAcentral describes it as "bacterial SSU rRNA". It matches the Rfam family "Bacterial small subunit ribosomal RNA", at positions 59 to 689 of the family's 1533-position model. The record is from RNAcentral. Lineage: Bacteria; Pseudomonadati; Pseudomonadota; Gammaproteobacteria; Enterobacterales; Enterobacteriaceae.